RNAcentral lists this ribosomal RNA (545 nucleotides) under fungal sp. RNAcentral's name for it is "eukaryotic LSU rRNA". The stretch from base 198 to 351 matches the Rfam family "5.8S ribosomal RNA". The record is from RNAcentral. Lineage: Eukaryota; Fungi.
UUCCGUUGGGGUAACCUGCGGAGGGAUCAUUACACAAAUAUGAAGGCGGGCUGGAACCUCUCGGGGUUACAGCCUUGCUGAAUUAUUCACCCUUGUCUUUUGCGUACUUCUUGUUUCCUUGGUGGGUUCGCCCACCACUAGGACAAACAUAAACCUUUUGUAAUUGCAAUCAGCGUCAGUAACAAAUUAAUAAUUACAACUUUCAACAACGGAUCUCUUGGUUCUGGCAUCGAUGAAGAACGCAGCGAAAUGCGAUAAGUAGUGUGAAUUGCAGAAUUCAGUGAAUCAUCGAAUCUUUGAACGCACAUUGCGCCCUUUGGUAUUCCAAAGGGCAUGCCUGUUCGAGCGUCAUUUGUACCCUCAAGCUUUGCUUGGUGUUGGGCGUCUUGUCUCUAGCUUUGCUGGAGACUCGCCUUAAAGUAAUUGGCAGCCGGCCUACUGGUUUCGGAGCGCAGCACAAGUCGCACUCUCUAUCAGCAAAGGUCUAGCAUCCAUUAAGCCUUUUUUUCAACUUGACCUCGGAUCAGGUAGGAUGCCCGCUCCCU